Molecule: ribosomal RNA, 490 nt
Filed under: uncultured bacterium
Lineage: Bacteria
Description: partial 16S ribosomal RNA
Rfam family: Bacterial small subunit ribosomal RNA
Source: RNAcentral
GAUGAACGCUAGCGGCAGGCCUAAUACAUGCAAGUCGAACGGGAUCCAGAUCAAAGCUUGCUUUGGUCUGGUGAGAGUGGCGCACGGGUGCGUAACGCGUGAGCAACCUACCCUUGUCAGGGGGAUAGCCCGGCGAAAGUCGGAUUAAUACCGCAUGACAUCAUUGAGAGGCAUCUUUCGAUGAUCAAAGAUUUAUCGGACAAGGAUGGGCUCGCGUGACAUUAGCUAGUUGGUAAGGUAACGGCUUACCAAGGCUGCGAUGUCUAGGGGCUCUGAGAGGAGAAGCCCCCACACUGGUACUGAGACACCGACCAGACUCCUACGGGAGGCAGCAGUAAGGAAGGUUGGUCAACGGACGGAAGUCUGAACCAGCCAAGCCGCGUGCAGGAGGACGGCCGUAGGGGUUGUAAACUGCUUUUAUACGGGAACAAUCGUCGGUACGGGUACCAGUCUGAGUGUACCGUAAGAAUAAGGAUCGGCUAACUCCGUG